GAUGAACGCUGGCGGCGUGCCUAACACAUGCAAGUCGAACGGAGUCCAGCCUUUAAGACCUUCGGGUCAAAGAGGGGAAGACUGAGUGGCGGACGGGUGAGUAACACGUGGGCAACCUGGCUCAUAGAGGGGGAUAACAGAGAGAAAUUUCUGCUAAUACCGCAUAAGCACACACUGCCGCAUGGCAGAGGGUGAAAAGAGAAUCGCUAUGAGAUGGACCCGCGUCUGAUUAGCCAGUUGGCAGGGUAAGAGCCUACCAAAGCGACGAUCAGUAGCCGAUCUGAGAGGAUGAACGGCCACAUUGGGACUGAGACACGGCCCAAACUCCUACGGGAGGCAGCAGUGGGGGAUAUUGCACAAUGGGGGGAACCCUGAUGCAGCGACGCCGCGUGAGUGAAGAAGUAUUUCGGCAUGUAAAGCUCUAUCAGCAGGGAAGAUAAUGACAGUACCUGAAUAAGAAGCCCCGGCUAACUACGU
This 477-nucleotide ribosomal RNA is filed under the name uncultured bacterium. RNAcentral describes it as "partial 16S ribosomal RNA". It matches the Rfam family "Bacterial small subunit ribosomal RNA", at positions 28 to 506 of the family's 1533-position model. The record is from RNAcentral.